RNAcentral lists this transfer RNA (70 nucleotides) under Mycolicibacterium canariasense. Its description in RNAcentral is "tRNA-Lys". Lineage: Bacteria; Bacillati; Actinomycetota; Actinomycetes; Mycobacteriales; Mycobacteriaceae. The record is from RNAcentral.
GACGCCAAAGGUGGCCGUCUACGGACUUUUAAUCCGCAGGUCCCAGGUUCGAGCCCUGGUGGGGGCACCA